Strigops habroptila (Kakapo) is the source of this 72-nucleotide small nucleolar RNA. Its record names the gene SNORD63. It matches the Rfam family "Small nucleolar RNA SNORD63". Rfam says of the family: snoRNA U63 is found in both humans and mice. U63 is a member of the C/D class of snoRNA which contain C (UGAUGA) and D (CUGA) box motifs. The record is from Ensembl. NCBI's taxonomy places the organism in Eukaryota, Metazoa, Chordata, Aves, Psittaciformes, Psittacidae.
GUGCCAUGAUGUUAACUGUCAACACAUCAUUCUGAAGAAGAAUUGUGUGGAGACCUUCUGUAACUGAGCACC